GCGGAGGCUGCGGUCCCAAUAGUAUAUGACACCACAGCACUUUAGGAUGGACGCGGGGGGUUUGUGGCGGCGACGGUCCCAAUAGUACAUGACCACACCACACCACACCGAAGAACGAUUUUCAGCGUCAGUCUUUUGCUAAAUUUGCAUGUGAGUGAAAGUUUUAACGUGAUAAUAUAUAACAUUAUUUUUCAACGAUGAGCAACUUGCGAGAUCUAAUUCGAAUUAGAUACGAGUAUCCCAUGGAAGGAGUAAAUUGUUUUUUUAUCAAACAUUUUAGUGAUUUUUGCGCUUCAUUUUAGUGAUUUUGCAUCUUUUUACUUUUCAGUACCUUAUGGUCGACAACAAGCCGCAAGUCCGGCUACAAUUACGAGAUGAGGUGGGGGUGCAAAUUAUCCCCUCAGUAAGUAUAACAAAUAGAUUUAUUUUCUAUUUUUUUCUUUUUUCCUUUUAAAUUCAUUUUGUUCAUUUUUUUUCAGCCUGUAUCUCCAUCUUUUAUUCAAAUCAGAGGCUUCAUUAACAUAGCCACUUGGCGAAUAAAAAGAAACAAAAGAGAAUGCGACCGGGAGAAUCAAAUAGACAUGUGGGAAGAAAGGGAUUUCUUCCUAGCAGAAUUAUUUGGUCUCCGACCGUACGAGCCUGAUCCGGAGCCGGAAGACUGGAAUUAAAAACGACGGCUAUCAUUUUUUUUUAAUUUGGGGACGCGGCGGUGGUGGUGGCACUGGUGCCUGCGGCGGGGGUGGCGGCGUCUGCGAUGAUGGGUGGCGGCGGUUCCAAUAAUACGUGACACCGCACAUGGCGACACAUCAGUAACAUCGAUAGCACCGGCACAUAAACAUCGAUAGCGCUGGGACUUC
Molecule: long non-coding RNA, 857 nt
Organism: Acromyrmex echinatior (Panamanian leafcutter ant)
Lineage: Eukaryota; Metazoa; Arthropoda; Insecta; Hymenoptera; Formicidae
Source: RefSeq, a predicted model, not a curated record